CCUACGGGGGGCAGCAGUGGGGGAUAUUGCACAAUGGGGGAAACCCUGAUGCAGCGACGCCGCGUGGGUGAAGAAGCGCCUCGGCGCGUAAAGCCCUGUCAGCAGGGAAGAAAAUGACGGUACCUGAAGAAGAAGCCCCGGCUAACUACGUGCCAGCAGCCGCGGUAAUACGUAGGGGGCAAGCGUUAUCCGGAUUUACUGGGUGUAAAGGGGGCGCAGACGGCGCUGCAAGCCAGGAGUGAAAGCCCGGGGCCCAACCCCGGGACUGCUCUUGGAACUGCGUGGCUAGAGUGCAGGAGGGGCAGGCGGAAGUCCUGGGGUAGCGGUGAAAUGCGUAGAUAUCAGGAGGAACACCGGUGGCGAAGGCGGCCUGCUGGACUGCAACUGACGUUGAGGCCCGAAAGCGUGGGGAGCAAACAGGAUUAGAUACCCGGGUAGUC
RNAcentral lists this ribosomal RNA (440 nucleotides) under uncultured bacterium. Its description in RNAcentral is "partial 16S ribosomal RNA". It matches the Rfam family "Bacterial small subunit ribosomal RNA", at positions 338 to 795 of the family's 1533-position model. The record is from RNAcentral.